AGAAGAAUGUGUCGUCUGUCGUGG
RNAcentral lists this non-coding RNA (24 nucleotides) under Arabidopsis thaliana (thale cress). Lineage: Eukaryota; Viridiplantae; Streptophyta; Magnoliopsida; Brassicales; Brassicaceae. The record is from RNAcentral.